This 447-nucleotide ribosomal RNA is filed under the name uncultured bacterium. RNAcentral's name for it is "bacterial SSU rRNA". It matches the Rfam family "Bacterial small subunit ribosomal RNA", at positions 335 to 799 of the family's 1533-position model. The record is from RNAcentral.
ACUCCUACGGGAGGCAGCAGUGGGGAAUAUUGCACAAUGGGCGCAAGCCUGAUGCAGCAACGCCGCGUGAGCGAUGAAGGCCUUCGGGUCGUAAAGCUCUGUCCUCAAGGAAGAAUAAAUGACGGUACUUGAGGAGGAAGCCCCGGCUAACUACGUGCCAGCAGCCGCGGUAAUACGUAGGGGCAAGCGUUAUCCGGAAUCACUGGGCGUAAAGGGUGCGUAGGCGGUUUUCAAGUCAGAAGUGAAAGGCUAUGGCUCAACCAUAGUAAGCUUUUGAAACUGUUAAACUUGAGUGCAGGAGAGGAAAGUGGAAUUCCUAGUGUAGAGGUGAAAUUCGUAGAUAUUAGGAGGAACACCAGUGGCGAAGGCGACUUUCUGGACUGUAACUGACGCUGAGGCACGAAAGCGUGGGAGGCGAACAGGAUUAGAUACCCGUGUAGCACAGAG